CAUGCGGGGGGAGGGGUUUAACCGGUGGUAGCGGACAGGGGGCGGAGGCUCCGUCUCUUCUGACCGACUCUGCUGCGCUGUCUCCGGCUUCUCGACUCUUCACUGACCCGGUGAAAGUUCCUCCUCCGCUGCAGACAUGGCUCCCAGCGCGCAGCUGAAGGAGGCGAUGGCCGACAUGCACGAGGGUCUGUCUGCAGGUUCUGUUGGAGAACGAUCGCAUGGAGAACAUAUUCAGUGACGUGAUCUACAGCCAGUUCACCACCGAGUUCACCAAGAUCCUCCAAUGUCUCAGACCCUCGGUCACAGCCGCUGGUUACGUCCAGUUGGGGGCGUACCCCCCCAUCGUCCUCCUCAACACCCUGCUCUUCUUCUGCUGCGAGGACUUUGGCUUCACCACGGUGGAGCAGCACCGCCAGCUGUCCUUCACCCAGCUCACCUGCUGCACCAGAACCAACCUGAACCACACCCGGACCACUUCCCUGCGCUUCUACCGCCCAUAUCCACGACUGAAGCUCCGCCAGACGGAGUUCCCGCUACAAACCGUCAUAAAGAUAACGUGGAGAAUUCCCUGGAGAUGAUGGAGAACCCGGAGAACCCGCUCCACUGCCCGGUCAGACUCUGUGAGUUCUACCUCUCCAAGUGCUCUGAGUCGGUGAAGCAGCGCAGCGACUGGUUUUUCCUUCGGUCCAGAUCGCUGCUGUGUUCCCAGCAGCCCCCACUGGUUCUCCUCUUCCCCACUGGAUGGCGACACCAUGGAGGCCAUGCUCGCUGGAACCCUCACAGUCCGAGAGCUGCAGGACAGAAGGUCGCAGAGCUUCGGCCCAACGGACAACAGACGACACCACGUUCACAUGUUUUUGUUAAAGUUGUUAAAGACAUUCUUUCUGAUAGAAACUGUAAAGAAGAGACAUCUUCAUCAAGACUUCCGGUUCUGACGCAAUUCACUUCUCUCCAGUCGCUGUACAUUCAUGUUUUAUUUCUUGUUUCCUUUCAGUCGGUUGAAUGUCAACACUUUCAGUUGUGA
This is an RNA transcript of Hippoglossus stenolepis (Pacific halibut), 1024 nucleotides long. It is a transcript of the gene named zinc finger MYM-type protein 4-like, with no coding region annotated. The transcript has 5 exons. Lineage: Eukaryota; Metazoa; Chordata; Actinopteri; Pleuronectiformes; Pleuronectidae. The record is from RefSeq and is a predicted model, not a curated record.